AAGGCCUGUUUCGACCAUAAAUACUUCAAGCCUCUAAGAUCCAACCCCUCAAGGACCGUAGUCUAUCAUGUCAGCCUAACAACACUAAUAGUGGUAGCGGGCAAAGGACCAUAGUCCACCCCCUCAACCUUAAGAAGCCAACCUCAACAUCAACUAGACAACCACAAAUACUUGAGCCUAUUUCUAAAUGUGCUACAAUUUAACUUAGCCAACCUCAACAUCCCCAGUCAGACAACACAAGAAAUAAGGUAUAAACAAAAAUAGUUCAUGUCAUUAAUAUUCAAAAUGCUUAAUUACAAAGUAGGUCAACUUAGAAAUUAAACAAAUUUCAUUACAAAAGAACAAGAUCAAACAUGUCGAGCAAAAAAAGUCUAUUAUAAAAGAAGAAGGCCAAACUCAUUGAGCUAAAAGGCCUCAUUACAAAAGGAGGUCAAACUUACUAUUCUAAUGGCUGAGCAAAAAAGAAGACCUACACCAAGCCAAAAAAGAUCAAGCACAGGAAGAAAAAUUACACAGGCCCGAAGGCCCACUUCUUUACUUUUGGAUGAGGAAGCUCGAUGAUGUGCCCUUUCUCCGAUGCCUUCCCCUUGCUCCUCGAUGAUGCCUUCGUCAUAUCCUCUAGAAAUGCUAAAAUAGCUGAGAUCAACCUUGGAAGAGCUAGUUAUGACCAUGGUGUGAGCAAGCUCGGCAUGAUAUUCUACUGAAGCCUUACACUCCUCCACGAGGACUUUCCCCUCAACCUUGGUAAAGCACUACUCAACCGCCCAUAGCUCUUCCUUGGCUUCAGCAGCUUGGAGAUCAGUCAUCUCAGCUUGGCUUUCUAUGGCCUCUAGCUCGCCUUCCACAGCUUUCAGCUUGGCCUCUAUCUCGGCCGCCUUUAUGCUGGCCUUGUGCAGCACCAGCUUGAGCUCCCCAACUCAGCACCUAAGAGCUUGAUGACUCUCAUGCACCAGAGCCACUAUAUCAGCAUUGUGCAAACAAAGACAAGGUUAGCAAAAAAGCCAAACUACCAAAAAAACUUUAGAGGCCAUCACAAUUACCUAAACAACUAAUCCAAACGCCCUGUCAAACA
This 1072-nucleotide long non-coding RNA is filed under the name Phoenix dactylifera (date palm). Its description in RNAcentral is "long non-coding RNA (PDAC_LNC011260)". The record is from RNAcentral. Lineage: Eukaryota; Viridiplantae; Streptophyta; Magnoliopsida; Arecales; Arecaceae.